AAUCCGGUUUGAGAUCGGUAAUAGUAUGUUAUUGUAUCGAUAAAGACUCACGUCAUUGUCAUGAAGGCGGUGAGAGUUAACGGCGAUAUUGGCCAUGCUGUUGGUGUUGUUAGUACCCCACCGACCACCCCUGUUGUGCCUAUGGUGGGGAAGAUUGUGGUGUCGUGUAGUAAGUGUCGUAUAGUAAUGUGUGGGACAGUGAACGAUGUGUUAGUUAGUUAGCGGCGGUUGAACUCUCUUGACUCGUAUCUGUUGCGCUUCUGUUGACGGCGGCUGAUCACCAUAGUUGUCUGUCUCCGAGUAUCGAAUUUCUUCGAACCGGUACGUUUCAAUCCAAUUAUCCAAUUAUAUUACAGUUGGUCAUAACACAGUGUCAUACAACCGAUGACCAGCGUAAUACAUUGCUGAGCAGCUUUGUGAUUGAAGGCCUGUUGCCCGAAAAUUUCGGUAAGCGGUCCGACGCAUAUCACAUAUUAUGCUAAUCAAGACAUCGACCACGGUUACCGGAUAGGCUGUCCAGUGGCCGGAAGCGGCGUCGUCCACGGCCCGGUGGAUCAAGCGGAGCGAGCGCGCCUUCGCGUUUGUCGCGAAACCCGCGAACAGCGCGCUCGUCAUAUCGCCGCCGUCUCGACCAUCGCCGCCUCGCCGGGUGGCGCGUGCGCCCGAAAAACAGCCACCUUACGGCCCACAAAUUUUGCAGCAUCCGAUCCAACGGGCCUACGACUAUACGAUUAACAUUGCCUCCGUAACGCGAUUCUCAUCUCAACGUCGAUCGCGUUGCGCUCGCCCCGUACAAAACACACACACACAUAUAUAUAUAUAUAUAUAUAUCAAUCACGCCGUCUUCGCGUUCUAUACACCAAACAGAAUGCCGCCUCUCCAGCAGCCCGCGAUGCAGAACGAUUAUUUGUACCAAACGCCAUACUGGAAGACUUCCGAAGCGUAUACCGAGGCCGCCCAGAAAUAUUUUGGCCGGUAUUUCUUGAUCUUCGAUUUUAUCCUGACCGUCGUAGUGUACGUUAUAUUGCUCGCGAUAGGGUACGUGGUCGUCGUACCGGUGCUCAUCGCCUUCUAUACCGUGACACGCCACAUGGUCGUCGAUCUAGUGUUCCUGAUCGGCUCCAUCUAUUCGCACCUGUGCGAUGGACUGUGCUUUCUGAUGUUCCACUGCCACGUGACGUUCAUCAGCGUGUUCGUCGCGGUCGCGAUGACAUGGUUCGUCUUGGCCGUGUUCAUUUCUUUCAGCGAACACGACCGCCUACUACUUCUGCUCACACUACACGACGACGAAUUUAUCGUUUAGAAAAACGUUGCGUUAUCGUUCCACAAAAACAAAAUAACAAUAAACGUAAACGUAUAAGUAGGCGGGCAAAGCGAAUCCCCGAUCGGACUGUCUUGCAACUCGCGCCGGACGUUCGCCGUCUGGUCGCAAUUUGUUCGCACGGUUUUCGACCGGGGACAGCAGCUCACCCGCAGUAGUUUGUAGUUUUUUAUAGUUUAAUAUUAUUAUUCGAUAGUGUUAGUUGACGUUUUAAUCGUUAUUUCGGGAUGUAUGGAUACGUUGUUUUAACGUCGCGCAGGUACGACCUGCAUCCACCCCCCCCCCCCCCCCCCGAAAAACUUUUCCUCUCAAUGACGAUUUUCGUUAAACCCUUUUUCAAAAACAAACACGAUUCUUUUUAAUAACCAUAUAGUAUUAUAUAGCUAUAUAGCUGCUGAGAUUACAGAAAUUUAUAUUUUGUAAAUUUAUUCCGAUCACCCCACUCUCCCUUACACUUUAAAUUACAAAAAACGAUUAUUAACGUCACACUUAGUUAUUUACGAUGCCCGCGCUAAAGGGGCGAUUUAAUUUUAAUAGCUGAUUUACAUAAUAUUACAUCGAACAUUUACGGCUUAUUUUCAUAACAUUAUUUUAUCCGUAUUUACGAUCUAUUAAUCGACCAUAAUUUAUACACGCACGAUUACAUUAUAUUUAUAGUUUAUACCUAUAUCAAAAUUAUACCCAAUUCUUGUUCUACACCCGUUGAUCACAUAUUUUAAGUCGUUAACUUUAUAUUAUAUACAAUAAUAUAUACAUUAAAAGCAGUUUGAAUUUUUAUAUUAUAUAUAUAAAUUAUAAAUCGUUAAAGUUCUAUGUUAAUAAACAUGUGUUCAUUAUAUACUUGAUGUACAAAUAUCACUCAACGCGACGAUUUAUUUAGUCGUUCGGGUCACGUUUAGUCAGUACAAAUAAUAUUUCACUGUAAAUUAAUAAUUAAAGAUUAAUACUGUAAACAAUAUUUUUUUUUUUAUCUGAAAAAUUUGUUCAAGACUAAAAAUAUGUCAUCAUAUUAUGUUAUCCGCGUACGAAAUUCAUUUAACAAUAAUUUAUAAUUUGUAUUAAUGUGUUCUUUUUUUUUUUUUCUGAAAAAUUUGUUCAAGACUAAAUGUCAAUUUUU
Molecule: long non-coding RNA, 2438 nt
Organism: Aphis gossypii (cotton aphid)
Lineage: Eukaryota; Metazoa; Arthropoda; Insecta; Hemiptera; Aphididae
Exons: 2
Source: RefSeq, a predicted model, not a curated record